CCCUUAGAUGUUCUGGGCCGCACGCGCGCUACACUGACGAUGGUAACGAGUUUUUCCUUCGCCGAAAGGUGUGGGUAAUCUUUUGAAACAUCGUCGUGCUGGGGAUAGAUCAUUGCAAUUUUUGAUCUUGAACGAGGAAUUCCUAGUAAGCGCGAGUCAUCAGCUCGCGUUGAUUACGUCCCUGCCCUUUGUACACACCGCCCGUCGCUACUACCGAUUGAAUGGUUUAGUGAGGACUCCUGAUUGGCGCCGCCGCCCCGGCAACGGAGCAGCGGACUGCCGAAAAGUUGUUCAAACUUGAUCAUUUAGAGGAAGUAAAAGUCGUAACA
Molecule: ribosomal RNA, 329 nt
Filed under: uncultured eukaryote
Lineage: Eukaryota
Description: partial 18S ribosomal RNA
Rfam family: Eukaryotic small subunit ribosomal RNA
Source: RNAcentral